CCUGGGAUAAUCCAUCAGCUGAGCUGGCUUAACCCCUGGCCAUGUUUUUUCAGGAUGCCAGUCUGCCUGCCCAGCACUGCAGUCCAAGAACUUGGCUUUGUACAGAAACCUAUUGUAUUCAAAAACACUGCUGGUUACAGUGCAACUUUCAGUUUAACUAAGUGAUGGCAACAGUGUUAAUGGCAUUACGUGCGAGUCAGGAUGGAAGACCUGGUCCUCAGCUGGUUUGGUUUGGGCUGGAGAUGCUGUGUUGCAUUUUAUCCAUGAUGUGACUUCCAGGUUCAAGAUUUGGAGGGUCACAUGAAAAAUGUUGGUUUGCCAUUAAGGUUGUCCUGGAUUAUUUCAGUAGAGAUGGUGCCACCUAAAAGUGAAAACCUGAUCUCCUGGCUUCUGAAGUAGGAUGCUUUUGUUCAAAUUAGUUGAGUAUGCAUUGCUGAAAGUUCCCCAGACGCAGACCCUGCAUUUAAGGUGUCCAUGUCUUGCUGCUGAGGAGUCAUCGCUAAAUCAGUGUCUGCAGUUCAAUGCAGAUACAUCAGGAGUGAGCAAGGCUGUCCCCCAACCACCAUGAGUUUCCUCUGCAUAGGGAGAAUGGACACCUACACCCACCUUCUUCAGGUAACAGUCAUCUCUGGAAAUAAUCCUGGACAAAGUCCCCAUAUGGAAAAAACACAUUUUAUCCUCCCAAAAGGCAGGAGCACGCACAGUGCCAGUGAGGCAAAGAGCUAAGGACUGGGGUUUGUGGAGCUCCAGGCAGAGAUUUGCUUGCACACCUCGGCUCCUUGCUUUUUGGACUUGGACUUGAGGUAGGAUCUGUGCUCAGAAAACUUGCAGAUUCUUUGAUCUGAAUCAUGGGUUUGUGGAUUAAGGCACU
Harpia harpyja (harpy eagle) is the source of this 871-nucleotide long non-coding RNA. RefSeq lists it as uncharacterized. Lineage: Eukaryota; Metazoa; Chordata; Aves; Accipitriformes; Accipitridae. The record is from RefSeq and is a predicted model, not a curated record. The transcript has 4 exons.